This 449-nucleotide ribosomal RNA is filed under the name uncultured bacterium. RNAcentral's name for it is "bacterial SSU rRNA". It matches the Rfam family "Bacterial small subunit ribosomal RNA", at positions 29 to 524 of the family's 1533-position model. The record is from RNAcentral.
AACGAACGCUGGCGGCAUGCCUAACACAUGCAAGUCGAACGAGACCUUCGGGUCUAGUGGCGCACGGGUGCGUAACGCGUGGGAAUCUGCCCUUGGGUUCGGAAUAACAGUUAGAAAUGACUGCUAAUACCGGAUAAUGUCUUCGGACCAAAGAUUUAUCGCCCAGGGAUGAGCCCGCGUAGGAUUAGCUAGUUGGUGAGGUAAAGGCUCACCAAGGCGACGAUCCUUAGCUGGUCUGAGAGGAUGAUCAGCCACACUGGGACUGAGACACGGCCCAGACCCCUACGGGAGGCAGCAGUGGGAAUAUUGGACAAUGGGCGAAAGCCUGAUCCAGCAAUGCCGCGUGAGUGAUGAAGGCCUUAGGGUUGUAAAGCUCUUUUACCCGGGAUGAUAAUGACAGUACCGGGAGAAUAAGCCCCGGCUAACUCCGUGCCAGCAGCCGCGGUAAU